This 417-nucleotide long non-coding RNA is filed under the name Mytilus galloprovincialis (Mediterranean mussel). The record is from RNAcentral. Lineage: Eukaryota; Metazoa; Mollusca; Bivalvia; Mytilida; Mytilidae.
GGAAGUUCUUGUGUUUAUUUAUGACAAAAACUGUUUACAAAGAGAUAUGGUAAAUCACCUGGUUGGUUACCUGUUUCAUGUAUACUGACAGCAUUUAAUAAAGCAACACUUCUAGUCUAAUGCAUUUGAAUCAAUACAAUGAACAGAUGAGGAUAUUAAAAAAAGAAUUUUGGGUAGGGUUGGAUUGGGGAAAUAAGCACUCUAAAAAGGACAAAAAUACACAAAGAACUACAAUUGAAUGCAAAGAAUCAAUUCGAACACAAGAAAAAAUCUGGGGAAAACGACUUGCUGAGGAUGGAUUCGUAGUGUCUGUUCUAAAACUAGUUGUUCUCGGCUGUUGCUUGUGAUAUGUCAACUUAAGGUGACAAAUGACACAAUUAUUCACAUUUUGAGACAAAACGUUAUUAUAGACCAAGA